Molecule: ribosomal RNA, 303 nt
Filed under: uncultured bacterium
Lineage: Bacteria
Description: partial 16S ribosomal RNA
Rfam family: Bacterial small subunit ribosomal RNA
Source: RNAcentral
AGCAGUCGCCACGGUAAUACGUAGGUGGCAAGCGUUGUCCGGAAUUAUUGGGCGUAAAGGGCUCGCAGGCGGUUUCUUAAGUCUGAUGUGAAAGCCCCCGGCUCAACCGGGGAGGGUCACUGGAAACUGGGAAACUUGAGUGCAGAAGAGGAGAGUGGAAUUCCACGUGUAGCGGUGAAAUGCGUAGAGAUGUGGAGGAACACCAGUGGCGAAGGCGACUCUCUGGUCUGUAACUGACGCUGAGGAGCGAAAGCGUGGGGAGCGAACAGGAUUAGAUACCCCCGUAGUCCCUGUCUCUUAUAC